AAAUUAAUUUUAUUUCCUUGUUUGGGUCUGGAAAUAUUUGGAAGUUACAUGGAGGAUUUAAUGUGAUUUUUGAUGACCCAUUUGUUUGACUUAUUAUUUUAAAAUAUCAAAAUCAAGAGAAAUAAACAUGCAAAAGUGCUAAUGAAUCAAAUACUCUCUUUUUUUUUUUUUGAUAAAUCAAAAACUCUCUUUUAUUGAAGUUGUGAUCAUUGUAUUUGAGGGUUUUGUGAUCUAUUGCAUGUAAUUUUUUGACAACACUGUUUCCUUUUUAUGAUGUUAUGUACCUUUUUCCACCCAUUUUAGUGUCCUAUUCUAAUUACUAAUUACUGAAACAGAGUAUUUAGUAACUUACAAACAGUUAUUGACCUAUUAAUGCCAGUUCCCUUUCUAGCAUAUCCGUGUUGAUCCAAUAGGUAUGGAAUCAUUUAAUCAUGAUAUUAGUCAUGAAGUUCCGAAGAGUUUUCUUACAAAGACAUAUUAGUCACAAAUUUGAGAACUUUAGACCGGAAAUAAUUUAUAUUUUGAGUUCAGACUCUUUUGAGAAAUGGCAAUGGCAAUGUGGUAUUCAAUGAUUUUCUUCUCUAUCUCUCUGGGAAGUUGACUUCAGAGUAACUGGUUUUUGACAGUGUUAUAGCAGAUAUGUUAAUGAUGGGAGACCGUUCUGGCAAUAUAUUGUCAGCUCUUCAACUGGCUGUUCAGAUUCUCAAUACUUCGAGGAGUUGUACAACUAUUAUACCACUGAAAAGUUAGCUUGGUUUGCAGCAUUGAUUGGUUACCAUUUUUAACUGAUUUACUUUCUAUUGAAUGCAAAUCUUCAUAUUUUUCUUGGAAUGAAUAGUGAGACAAAUACCUCCAUAAUGCUAAUCAAACCUUAUCUGCUAUGUCAUUUGAGUCUUAAAUUGCAACUGUUGAUCACAAUACCAUCUGAGUUCUAAGUAUAUUUUCAUUUGUUUCUAUCCAAAGGCGUGGCACCUCUGUGAUCCGGAUGCUGAAAAAGUAUUCAAGGCAAUUAGAAGUGAAGGCAUGAAAUUGGCUGUUGUGUCAAACUUUGACACUCAAUUAAGACCUCUCUUGCAGGCUCUGAAUUGCGAUCACUGGUUUGAUGCUAUGCCAGUCUCAGCUGAAGUGUCAUUUUGUUUUUCCCCUUUUGUUAUUUUAUUUAUUUAUUUAUUAUUUUAUUUAUUUAUUUUUGCCAUUGUUCAAUCUCUCGCUUGCUCUCUCUCUCAAACAGGUUGAAGCAGAGAAGCCAAAUCCCACCAUAUUUCUAAGCUUGUGAGUUAUUGCGAGUAGAACGGAGGAUGCUGUUCAUGUAGGGGAUGAUCAUAGAAAUGAUAUAUGGGGUGCCAGAGAUACAGGUUGUGAUGCUUGGCUCUGGAAAUGAUAUAUGGAAUUCAUGGAGUCAAUAAUCUAUGAAUUUCAUCAUUUCAUAAGGAUGAAUAAAAUGUUACUUACA
Camellia sinensis is the source of this 1453-nucleotide non-coding RNA. The record is from RefSeq and is a predicted model, not a curated record. NCBI's taxonomy places the organism in Eukaryota, Viridiplantae, Streptophyta, Magnoliopsida, Ericales, Theaceae.